CUCACUUCCCAAGGUCUCAGAUUCCUCAUCCAUAUGAUGAAGGUGUUUGACUAGAGGAACUCAAAGGUUCCUUGCAACUUUGAGUCUACUGGCCUGGGAUUUUCCUCUAGUUUCCUCCAUGUAUAGGGAAAUGCACAAUAUAGAAGGAGGAGGAAUCAGAGUGGCCAAGAGGCAUUAUUUGGAAUUGUUUUCCACAAAAGUCCUAGCUGGAAGCUUGCCUUCUAUUACUCUUCUAAAAUUUCCUGCCAAGUCCAUGUUUACACCAACAUCUCCAGGAAUCCAGCAUUCUGGUCAAGUGAGAACAUCUGUGCCAGAUUGUUAAUUAUUGCUAUUCUCUGAGUGCAGGCACUGGAACUCUCACUGAGGCAACAUAGUAUAUAAGGGCAUUGGCUAUGGGUUUCUUACCAUUCAUCUUUCCAAGAUGAAGACAGAAAGAACUUUCCAAAUGACAUGUGUCCUGGGCUUUCUCCUCAUUUUUCUCAUCGGUUCAAGUCUAGGUAAUGAUCAAUGCUCUGUCCAGAGGAUUCCUUCAAUGUCUAGAGGUUGUAUGAACAGUGAUGGAUCUGAGUUUAGAACUGGUGCCUCUUGGAUCCAGAAUGGUUUACGCUGUAGGUGUUUUGGAGAUAAAAUUUGGUGCUGCAGGGUCAGGCAACCUUGUCCAGAGGUGAUACCAAGAAUUCAAGAAAACGAUAAUACCUUCUUUUGAACUCAUAGAAUAUUUAUCUGAAUCAGUUGCUUGCAUCCUCUAGAAGACUGAUGCUCAACUGACUGCUAGACUACUUCUAUGGAGCCCUACUUGCUGCUUGACCAGCUGUCAUCAAUAUGCUUCUCAUUCUCCAAAGGACACUUGUAGAGUUCACAGGGGCCACUUCUGUGCUUUCUCACUGAUGAUAUUAAAGAGCCCGUAGUGUAACUUUUGCUGUAACUGGUGGAAUUCAAUAAAUGACAGUUCCACAUUGAAAGUGUUGAAGCG
RNAcentral lists this long non-coding RNA (973 nucleotides) under Monodelphis domestica (gray short-tailed opossum). Its description in RNAcentral is "lncRNA (ENSMODG00000051316.1)". The record is from RNAcentral. Lineage: Eukaryota; Metazoa; Chordata; Mammalia; Didelphimorphia; Didelphidae.